GCUGAACCGGUAGACCUCACGACAGAUUCAGACGAUGAGUCUGAGGUGUGUGUCAAUGUUGCUCCCAAGAAACGGAAAAACAUAGAUGACUCUACACCGCACCAAAUUCCUCAGGAUAAACUAAUUAAUGAUAGAGGAAUCGGAUGUGCUGAACAAAUAAUCGGCCUCACAACGGAUUCUGACAUAGAGUCUGACGUUUCCGUCGUUGAACCUCAGAGGAAGCGCAAAAACAUAAGAAGAUCUAUUUCACACCAAACCCCACAAGAUAGACACAUCAGGAGCGCUGAUGAUAUUUUAACAUGGACGGAAUCACAGAUCGUUGAAUGGGAUCGUUCGUCAUGGACCAGUGAUCGAUACGACGAGGCUACAGUGAGAGCCAGACAGACACCGUAUCCUUUUUACAUUGCUACGAAGAAAGAAGACGAAGAAGAAGAAGAAGAAGAAGAAGAAGUGCGGGAGACAGAGGGCAGAAAUGAUGAGCAGUAUGAUGUUCGGACUCUGGAUCGUGAAAUCAUUAAAAGAUUAGAUGAUGAGGCCAUAGCGAGACGUAACAUCACAACUACCAUUAAUAGGCGUUUUGAUGAACUUAAUAGCAGAUUGGAUGACAUUAAUAUCAAA
Long non-coding RNA from Megalobrama amblycephala (Wuchang bream), 618 nucleotides. RefSeq lists it as uncharacterized. The record is from RefSeq and is a predicted model, not a curated record. NCBI's taxonomy places the organism in Eukaryota, Metazoa, Chordata, Actinopteri, Cypriniformes, Xenocyprididae. The transcript is spliced from 3 exons.